Long non-coding RNA from Carassius auratus (goldfish), 1417 nucleotides. RefSeq lists it as uncharacterized. NCBI's taxonomy places the organism in Eukaryota, Metazoa, Chordata, Actinopteri, Cypriniformes, Cyprinidae. The transcript is spliced from 3 exons. The record is from RefSeq and is a predicted model, not a curated record.
CGGGACUAGAAUUCUGAUAAGCUGUGCAGGGCUCUAUUAGUCCCCUUGUUUCAACUAAAAGUUCCCCUGGGCUUGGCGGGCCUCCAAACUGCCCGGACCCUUAUGCACCUUCAUACCCAUUAUUUUCUCUUGCAAAUAUAACAAAUGGUAUAAUGUUUUUUUUUUUAUUUAUUUUUUUUUUACAUCAGUUAAACAAGAACUCAAUAAUAACAGACUUCUGUUUAAGACACACCAUAUUGCCUAUAUUUGCUCUAUUUCACCAAUAAAUAUAGCUCAUUCCAAACAGAGGCACGGUGCUGUUUUGUGUCUCUGAGCAUCAUGACAGUGUUUCAUUCCUGAAUUAAUCAACCGUUUAAAUGAUCAAUGACUCACUUAUUACAGUUUUUCUGAAUGCUUAAGCGCUAUUUGUGAUUCUUGUAGCAAAAUUUCUAAAACUAUUAAUACGUAUAGCAAAACCACUCACUGAGUUUGCAAAACUAAAAGCACAAACACUGCUUUCCACUCAGUUUGCAAUUUUGUAACACACACUUUGCAAAACUGUAGGCACAAUCCACUGCACAACACUCUUUUUGCAGAACUUUAAACACAACUCACUACUUACACUCAAUUACCAACACACUCCUAGCAAAAUUAUACACAUGUAUGGCUAUCAUUAACAAUAUUUUGCCCACUGUCUGGCACACUUUCAAAUGUGAAAACUGUUUUAGAUAAUAAGUUCACUUUGCAAUCAGCCUAAGCACUAUAAAUAAGUCACAGGUAAGCUGUCUGUGUGGAGUUCAAUGGAUGGAGCAGUAAGAGUGAGAAGAGUGAGAAUCAGAGGAGGCCGAGAGAGAGGACGUGGAGGUGAAGAAGCGAGAGGGUUAGAGGAAGUUAGAGGAAGAGGACAAGGAGGUGCAAGAAGAGGACGAGGAGGGGAAAGAGGGAGGGUAAGAAGAGUAAGAUAUAGAAUGACUGAUGACAUCAGAGCUACAAUAGUGGACCAUGUCAUCAACCAUGUGAUGACCCUGAGGGAAGCUGGCCAACGGGUUCAGCCUAAUUUGAGCCGCUACACUGUGGCAAGCAUCAUUAGGACAUUUCGAAAUGAGAAUCGUUAAGUACUUUGUAGCACUGCCAUACUCUAAUGAGAAACACAACAGUACCAUACAUGCAAUAAUACUGAAAUUGUUACUUUACAGAAUUGCUAGAUGUCCAGAUGUUGGGGGCAGAGGAAGAAUGUUCACUCCAGAGCAAGAGACCCAUAUAGUGAACAUGAAUCAGAAUGAAGCAAAUUUACAGAGUUCCUUUCGAGAGAAACACAGAACGUGUAAAGCAACUGUGAUAUGACUAUGUGCAGAGAGUGAUGGAACUAGAAGCAGAUGCCAUGGGACAUGAGCUACUUUUUGUAGAUGAGGCCGGUUUUAACCUCAGUAAAACCAGG